AGGACGAACGCUGGCGGCGUGCCUAAUGCAUGCAAGUCGAGCGACGAAUAGGUGCGGGUAACCAAGCCUAUUACGGAGCGGCGAACGGGUGAGUAACACGUGAGCGACCUGCCCCGAAGACCGGGAUAGCCCAGGGAAACUUGGAUUAAUACCGGAUAUCCUCCUUUGAUCGCAUGGUCGUUGGAAGAAAUGCUUUUACGCUUCGGGAUGGGCUCGCGGCCUAUCAGUCUUGUUGGUGGGUAACGGCCUACCGAAGGCGUCGACGGGUAGCGUGGUCUGAGAGGACGAUCAGCCACACGUGGGACUGAGACACGGCCCAGACUCCGUACGGGAGCAGCAGCGAGGGUAUUUGCG
Molecule: ribosomal RNA, 354 nt
Filed under: uncultured soil bacterium
Lineage: Bacteria
Description: bacterial SSU rRNA
Rfam family: Bacterial small subunit ribosomal RNA
Source: RNAcentral